Camelina sativa (false flax) is the source of this 694-nucleotide non-coding RNA. The record is from RefSeq and is a predicted model, not a curated record. Lineage: Eukaryota; Viridiplantae; Streptophyta; Magnoliopsida; Brassicales; Brassicaceae.
AACUUUUUUCCGAAAGAAAUCCCAAUCGACACAAUAAAAUUUCCAAAUAUUCAGAACCCUAAAAUUUCAUUUUUUUUCCUCUCCCACACAAAUCUGAUUUUCACAAUCUUUGCCCAAUCUCACUCUCUCCCACACAAAUCUCAAUCACAAUACCUAAUCCCAGAUCUAAAAUUCUAUGUUCUUUCAAACCAAAACACUGUAAUCCAUCUUCCUCUUUUGCUCAAUUGUUGUUGAUUCUUCCUGUAAAUCGGUUGCUCUCACUUAAACGUCAUUUUAUAACCAACCCUCUUGAGAGACUAGACUCAUCUCAUCUCUCUCACAAAACAGAAGGAAGAAGAAGGAAUCUUUGUUUUCUCUUAUUCCUCUUCUCUCCUCCUUCUACUUUCGAUAAAUUUUGAAUAUCUUUCUUCUCUACGAGUGUGUCUAAUUCGACUAUUUCGAUUUUCUUGAUUUCGGUAUAAAGAAGAAAGGCGGGUAUCAAGGAAACACUCCGGCGGAUCCUCCGGCGUUUAAUGGAUCAAAACAACUCGCGGCUCCGACCAAGACUGUUGACAGCCAAUCUGUUCUCUAAAGGCUGCAGUCUGAAUUGAUGGGCUUGAUGAUGGGCGUGGUGGUCCAGGGAUAUCUGCGUUUCCAGAGGAAGACAACAUCUUCUGCUGGAAAGGGACGAUAACAGGAAGCUAUUGGCAGGGAG